AAAACGGAAAGGAGAAAAGGAAAAGACAAAAAGCACCGUCCUGACUCUGGAUGCCGAGUGUUCUUCUUUACAAGGGAGGCUUGGGUCGGAUUUCAACGACAAGUGUGCUGCCUGGCUGGGUCCCGACCUGACCCGAGCUUGUCCAGUCAUAUACUCUUCGAAGCUACGAUUGUUGCAUCAAUUGCUACUGGACAUGGCGGGAGGAGGAAGCACAAAGCUUAGGUGGGGCAGAGAGAUUAAUCGUUGAUGCAGCUGUUGAACUUGCAUCUCACGGGCAAAAUGUUCAUAUUUUCAAAACUCACCAUGAUAAAAGCCGAUAUGUUGAGGAAACAGUUUCUGGUGGUUAGGACCAGCGCUUAAGAGAAAAUGUUGAGUGCUUGGAGGAGCUUAUGAGUGUGUUUGGAUUGAGAGAUUUGGAGAGAGGGAAGAGAAGGGAAACAAGGGAGGAAAGGGAAGGUGUAUCUGAUCAAAUAAAAUUCAUUACAUCUUGCUCAACAGCUGAAAGAAAUGUCUCCUCUCCCAGUGUUUAUGUGUUCUCUAUAGUCUAUACACCAAAGGUCUGGUUGCAUCUAGAGCUCUGAUAGAAUUUAUCGGUUCUGAAAUGUAAAAGUGGAUCUCUUUUUUUCACAAAUUGUUGGUAUACUUCCGCUGGAGGCUUAUGGCAGCUUAUAAACCUGUUAUUGCAUGCAACAGUGGUGGCCUUGUUGAAACAGUUAA
This is a long non-coding RNA of Tripterygium wilfordii, 717 nucleotides long. RefSeq lists it as uncharacterized. NCBI's taxonomy places the organism in Eukaryota, Viridiplantae, Streptophyta, Magnoliopsida, Celastrales, Celastraceae. The record is from RefSeq and is a predicted model, not a curated record. The transcript is spliced from 3 exons.